This 326-nucleotide ribosomal RNA is filed under the name Corbicula sp. C1a. Its description in RNAcentral is "partial 28S ribosomal RNA". The record is from RNAcentral. Lineage: Eukaryota; Metazoa; Mollusca; Bivalvia; Venerida; Cyrenidae. RNAcentral also lists the same sequence under 1 other name.
CCGGCCGCCCACGGAGCUCGCAAAGUUCGGAUCCGCAAGGACCGGGCCAGCGGGACGUCCGCGUGGCAGGGUGCACUUUCUCCGCGGUCGAGUGCUACGACCGGUUUCGCGGCGGUCAGAAGCCCGGCGGAAAGGUAGCGCCGCCCCUCGGGGUGUCGUGUUAUAGGCCGCCGCGGUGGACUCGCCGCGAGACCGAGGACGCUUGCCGCGCCGAGCGGUCCCGGGCCGUCUGGGGAGGUUCGACCUCGGCUGCACUGCUCCGCAGAGCACCGUAACCGCCGCCCUAGCACGGGUCCGGAGACUGCCGGCGCCUCGGGUCAGUAGCG